GAUGAACGCUGGCGGCGUGCCUAAUACAUGCAAGUCGAGCGAACAGACGAGGAGCUUGCUCCUCUGAUGUUAGCGGCGGACGGGGGAGUAACACGUGGAUAACCUACCUAUAAGACUGGGAUAACUUCGGGAAACCGGAGCUAAUACCGGAUAACAUGUUGAACCGCAUGGUUCAACAGUGAAAGACGGUCUUGCUGUCACUUAUAGAUGGAUCCGCGCCGCAUUAGCUAGUUGGUAAGGUAACGGCUUACCAAGGCAACGAUGCGUAGCCGACCUGAGAGGGUGAUCGGCCACACUGGAACUGAGACACGGUCCAGACUCCUACGGGAGGCAGCAGUAGGGAAUCUUCCGCAAUGGGCGAAAGCCUGACGGAGCAACGCCGCGUGAGUGAAGAAGGUCUUCGGAUCGUAAAACUCUGUUAUUAGGGAAGAACAAAUGUGUAAGUAACUAUGCACGUCUUGACGGUACCUAAUCAGAAAGCCACGGCUAACUACGUG
This 497-nucleotide ribosomal RNA is filed under the name uncultured bacterium. Its description in RNAcentral is "partial 16S ribosomal RNA". It matches the Rfam family "Bacterial small subunit ribosomal RNA", at positions 28 to 507 of the family's 1533-position model. The record is from RNAcentral.